AGGGGGGGGGGAGCGGCUUCUCCUGCCCGCCCCUUCCUUCGGUGCCUGGAGCCGCGCUCGCCACUGCCCGGGCUGCCUCAGGGACCUCCCGCCUGAAGGGAGCGCUUAGCCCGCCAGCUCCAUAGAGAGGAAGCUCCGUGCUUCCAGGCGGUUUUCCAGGUCUUCGGGAUGGUUUAUUGGCGUUUUCCGCCGUCGGGACGCGGGACGGAAGAGCUGCCGCCAUAUCUCCUUCCCGCCCAGCCCGGCUGAGGGGAGCGGGGGCACCUGUGGGCACCGGACCGCGAAAAUGAGCGUUUGAAGGGCUACGGUGCAUGGAAUUGGAAUAUGGAUCACAUGACAGGUCGUGGCUGGUUUUUCUCCCCAAAGGAGGCACUUCACCAGUAUUAAGUGCUAAUUUUUAUUUCUGUAGUACCACCCAGUGGCCCUGCAGUAACUUUAACAACAGAAUCAAAGUGAACUGCCAGAAACACCUUAAAAGACGGUUUUCCUGACAAAUCAGCUCUUUGAUCUGAGAGCAGCAGCACCAGAGUCAGCAGAAGGAAGGGAGGAAGGGGCCUUCUGGAGCCUGGUGUCACAUGCCAAGCUCAAGGAGCACAACAGAAGAGCAUUGGGUGACCUUGAGUCACUCCUACUUUUGUUCAGAAUGGAAUAUUGAAAGCAAAAUUCCUUUUACUGCACACAAUUUCUUUUUUUUCUAACUAGAGAUUUUAACCUGAGAUUAAAUUGCAGGAGGCAAGAACUGUAACUGCCUGAUGAGUGAUCAUCAGCCUCCUGCCCUCCUGUGCUUUGCUUUCUCCUGACCUUUCUUCUCUCCCUGUGCCAUUCCAGCAAGGUUGUUUUAUCCCCAGGAGGCCUCUUCCCUUCCCUUGCUCCUCAAGGAUCUGGAAAUAUUUGCUCUGGUAAAGUGCCAGCACUGCUCUAGAGGAAUAACUUGGAGAAAUGAAAGACAUGGGCCAAACUAAAAUUCUUUAAUCCAAAUUUAGGGCUGGAUUAAGAGUUUGAGAACGUACACUUUCCAAAAUUCACAUCCCAACACUGAACUAAAAAUCCUGUUUUUCUUUAACGUAAAGAUGGAGUCCAGUUAUAUCUGUGCCCUCGAGGCUGGAAUGCUGCUGGAAAUCAUUGGAAGCCACAUGUGAGUUAACCCACUUUUAAAGUUUCGCCACUUGACUGCCACUGCUCUCUUAGCAUUUUCAGCUUUUUAACAAGCUUCUCAUUUAACUAGACCCCGAGAAGCCAAAUUCAAUUAGUUUGAUUUAGCCCAAAUAGUAGAGAAUAUACUCAGAAUUCAGCUGCAUUAGGCUGAAAAUGCAUCACGGAAGUACAGAAAAGGCAUUUCUGAGCACGAGAGUGCCACCAGCAUCUGAACCACCUUACCAGAGAGUCCAGGCAGCUUCUGGUGGACAUUGGGACCAUGAAAGUCUAUAAACUUCAAGACUCAGGAAAAGCUGAGGCAAUAUUUAAAAAGACUUAAGAUUUAAAAUGUGUUCACAACAACAAAAAAAAACCCAGACCACUUGGUACAUGUUGAUGGGGCACCUGGAAGAGAUAUUCCAGUGCAUCUUUUAGGAAAAAGUACUGUUUGGCUUUUAACUUACAAAUAAAA
Molecule: long non-coding RNA, 1606 nt
Filed under: Lepidothrix coronata (blue-crowned manakin)
Lineage: Eukaryota; Metazoa; Chordata; Aves; Passeriformes; Pipridae
Description: lncRNA (ENSLCOG00000012847.1)
Source: RNAcentral